RNAcentral lists this ribosomal RNA (253 nucleotides) under uncultured bacterium. RNAcentral's name for it is "partial 16S ribosomal RNA". It matches the Rfam family "Bacterial small subunit ribosomal RNA", at positions 524 to 776 of the family's 1533-position model. The record is from RNAcentral.
UACGAGAGGCCCAAACGUUAUUCGGAUUUACUGGGCUUAAAGAGUUCGUAGGCGGCGCGGAAAGUCGGGUGUGAAAGCCCUCGGCUCAACCGAGGAAUUGCGCUCUAAACUGCCGCGCUCGAGGAACCUAGAGGUGAGCAGAACUGAUGGUGGAGCGGUGAAAUGCGUUGAUACCAGCAGGAAUACCGGAGGCGAAGGCGGCUCACUGGGGGUUAUCUGACGCUGAGGAACGAAAGCCAGGGGAGCAAACGGG